ACCUACUGCUCGACCACCAGUCCGGCAGUCCCCCACGCCAGUACGCCACGCUCCCAUCGCCAUCACCCAGGACCCCGUGCUGCCUGGUGCCUGGACUCCAAGAACCCGCCCUCGAGGCCCAAGCACCGCUUCUCCCCCUCUCACUGUCACUGGUCACCACACGCCACACUACAGAGUCCAGAUCACGGCCACCGCGAUGGCUGCUUAGUGCGUCCGCGGCAGCUGGAGCCUGGAGAAUGGGCUGCUGCUUCAGCAAGAACCCGAGGACCCGCCCGGUGGCCGGAGCCUCUGACUUCCCGCGCCGGUGCGGACCCGAGGACCGCGACCCGCCGUCGCCGGAGGAGGAAACGGUCAAGGAGGUACUCUCGGAGACACCGAGCGCUAAACCCAGGGCCAAUCCCAAGCUCGUCGGCAAUGCCGUCGUCCCCGCCGCCGCGGACGAGCGGAAAGCGGAGAAGGCGAAGAAGCAGGACAGCGUCGAUGCCGCGGCGAGCGACGUCGGCAGCUGCGUGUCGCUCUCACUCGCCACCGACGAACGGUCCGAGGCGGCGUCGGAGUCGUCGGUCGCGACCAGCUCGGUGGCCGGGCCGGAGCGCUCACCAAGGACGAAACCGGCCAGGAGGCGCCCAGCGUCCGCCGAUCUGGGGCCAGCGCGGCGCGAGCGGGACCGCGCCGUCGCGGCCUCCUACGGCGUCCGCUCCCGCAGCGCGCGGGCGUCGGCGUCCCCGCCGCCGAGGCACGUGCCGCGGGACCGCUCCGUCCGGCGUUCGCCCUCGCCGGCAGCGAAGCGGCGGGCGUCGUCUGAGCCCCGCCGCGCCGCCAGCCCAACUCCGUCCGUGCAGCGCAAGCCGCCUGUCCCGGCAAGGCCGGCCGGCCGCGUCUCGCCGCGGCGGCGGGCACAAGAAGCGACUCCUCGUCCCGCCUCCCCGCCGCCGCCCUCGCAGCUGGAAGACGACGCCGUCACCGCGGCAAGUGAGCCCAGCAUCCCCGACGGUAGCGACGGUGGCGAUGUUCAAAGUGGCCGCGGCGGCGACGACGGCAAAGAGUCGUUGGAGAACCCGCUGGUGUCAUUGGAAUGUUUCAUCUUUCUGUAGCGCUGUGCUGAUGCAGUGAUGUUGUAAUCUCGCGCUAUUUUCCUUCGAAAGUAUUGGGCUAAUGAUCCACUUUAGAUGCUGGUGCUGUGGUGCAGCAGUCAGUUGUUUGUACUGCCGCUGCCACCUUCCGUUAACUUUGUCAAGUCCAAGAGAAAUGCCAGUAGCUUUUGGCUUUUCAGAGGCGUGCGGUGUGCCUGACAAUGUUCUUUGGCUUUAAACAUCUACUCUCUCCGUUUCUUUUUAUUAGUCGCUGGAUAGUGCAAUUUUACACUAUCCAGCGAC
Molecule: unclassified non-coding RNA, 1376 nt
Filed under: Zea mays
Lineage: Eukaryota; Viridiplantae; Streptophyta; Magnoliopsida; Poales; Poaceae
Description: misc RNA Zm00001eb369870
Source: RNAcentral